AGUGAACGCUGGCGGUAGGCCUAACACAUGCAAGUCGAACGGCAGCACAGUAAGAGCUUGCUCUUACGGGUGGCGAGUGGCGGACGGGUGAGGAAUACAUCGGAAUCUACUUUUUCGUGGGGGAUAACGUAGGGAAACUUACGCUAAUACCGCAUACGACCUACGGGUGAAAGCAGGGGAUCUUCGGACCUUGCGCGAUUGAAUGAGCCGAUGUCGGAUUAGCUAGUUGGCGGGGUAAAGGCCCACCAAGGCGACGAUCCGUAGCUGGUCUGAGAGGAUGAUCAGCCACACUGGAACUGAGACACGGUCCAGACUCCUACGGGAGGCAGCAGUAGGGAAUAUUGGGCAAUGGGCGCAAGCCUGAUCCAGCCAUACCGCGUGGGUGAAGAAGGUCUUCGGGUUGUAAAGCCCUUUUGUUGGGAAAGAAAAGCAGCAGGUUAAUACCCCGCUGUUCUGACGGUACCCAAAGAAUAAGCACCGGCUAACUUCGUG
This 492-nucleotide ribosomal RNA is filed under the name uncultured bacterium. RNAcentral describes it as "partial 16S ribosomal RNA". It matches the Rfam family "Bacterial small subunit ribosomal RNA", at positions 29 to 507 of the family's 1533-position model. The record is from RNAcentral.